This 527-nucleotide ribosomal RNA is filed under the name Mintonia silvicola. RNAcentral's name for it is "partial 16S ribosomal RNA". The stretch from base 125 to 419 matches the Rfam family "Bacterial large subunit ribosomal RNA", at positions 2074 to 2646 of the family's 2925-position model. Lineage: Eukaryota; Metazoa; Arthropoda; Arachnida; Araneae; Salticidae. The record is from RNAcentral.
GUGCUAAGGUAGCAUAAUCAUUUGUCUCUUAAUUAGAGACUAGAACAAAAGAUUUAACUUUUCAAUUUAUUUCUUUAUAUUAAUAUUCAAAAUUAUUUUAAAUGUUAAAAAACUUUUAUAAAAAAAAAAGACGACAAGACCCUAUUGAACUUAACUUUAGUUAAACUGGGGCAGUAAAUUAAUUAUUAUCUUAAUUAUUAUAAAAUCUUAUCCUUCUAAUAAAAUUAAAUUAAUCAGUUACCAUAGGGAUAACAGCGUAAUUUAUCUUUAAAGAUCUGAUAAAAAUAUAAGAUUACGACCUCGAUGUUGAAUUAAUAUUCUUAUUUUUGUAAAAAAAAAUAAAGAUGGUCUGUUCGACCAAUAAACAAUUACAUGAUUUGAGUUCAGACCGGUGUAAGCCAGGUCGGUUUCUAUCUUUUUAUAUUAUUAAACAGUACGAAAGGACCCUUAAUUAUAAUUUUAUUAUAAAAUUGGCAGAUAAUGCAUUAGAAUUAGAAUCUAAAUAUCCUAUUAUUAAUAUAAUAUUA